This 75-nucleotide transfer RNA is filed under the name Promethearchaeota archaeon. Its description in RNAcentral is "Candidatus Lokiarchaeota archaeon (microbial mat metagenome) tRNA-Ile". It matches the Rfam family "tRNA". Rfam says of the family: Transfer RNA (tRNA) molecules are approximately 80 nucleotides in length. Their secondary structure includes four short double-helical elements and three loops (D, anti-codon, and T loops). Lineage: Archaea; Promethearchaeati; Promethearchaeota. The record is from RNAcentral.
GGGCGUGUAGCAUAGCCAGGUUAAUGCGCUCGGCUGAUAACCGGGAGAUCGUGGGUCCGAAGCCCACCAUGCCCA